RNAcentral lists this ribosomal RNA (254 nucleotides) under uncultured bacterium. Its description in RNAcentral is "partial 16S ribosomal RNA". It matches the Rfam family "Bacterial small subunit ribosomal RNA", at positions 524 to 776 of the family's 1533-position model. The record is from RNAcentral.
UACGUAGGGCGCAAGCGUUGUCCGGAAUUAUUGGGCGUAAAGAGCUCGUAGGCGGUCUGUCGCGUCUGCCGUGAAAACCCGAGGCUUAACCUCGUGGCUUGCGGUGGAUACGGGCAGACUAGAGGUAGGUAGGGGAGAACGGAAUUCCCGGUGUAGCGGUGAAAUGCGCAGAUAUCGGGAGGAACACCGGUGGCGAAGGCGGUUCUCUGGGCCUUACCUGACGCUGAGGAGCGAAAGCGUGGGGAGCGAACAGG